AAGUCGUAACAAGGUUUCCGUAGGUGAACCUGCGGAAGGAUCAUUAAAAAAAUCUUUAAUAUGGAGAACCGCAAGGUUCUCUAACUAUUUUGUGAAAUGUGUGAAUAGUAUGGUAGUUUUGUGCGCGUACUUUGUGCUGUUUGAGGGUGUUAACUUCACUCUCUCUCUUUUAUUACAAUCACAAAAUACAUCCAUAAGACUUGCUGUACUAUUUAUUUUAAUACAUGUUAUAUAUUGAUGAAGUAUGUGAAUAUAAUAUUAAAGGUGGUAUAAUAACCCCCUUUUAAUAUGAUAUAAUAUAUAUACAACUUUCAACAGUGGAUCUCUCGGCUCUU
RNAcentral lists this unclassified non-coding RNA (335 nucleotides) under fungal sp. RNAcentral describes it as "partial internal transcribed spacer region". The stretch from base 1 to 46 matches the Rfam family "Eukaryotic small subunit ribosomal RNA", at positions 1786 to 1831 of the family's 1831-position model. Lineage: Eukaryota; Fungi. The record is from RNAcentral.